AUGUCGCGGGGCAGGGACCCUUUGGCACUGAGCCAGGUAAUUGGUGAUGUGUUGGAUCCUUUCGUAAAGUCAGCUGCCAUGAGGAUUAAUUAUGGUGAGAAGGAGAUUACAAAUGGCACUGGGGUACGAUCAUCUGCCGUGCUCAAUGCACCACAGGUGGAGAUUGAAGGUCGUGACCGGACGAAGCUCUACACACUUGUUAUGGUGGAUCCUGACGCGCCAAGUCCAAGCAAACCGGAAUACAGGGAAUAUUUGCAUUGGUUGGUGACAGACAUCCCAGAGGCAACAGAUGCACGUUUUGGCAAUGAAAUAGUUCCCUAUGAAGCUCCACGGCCACCAGCCGGUAUUCAUCGGCUUGUUUUUGUGCUAUUCAAACAGGGAGCACGGCAGACAGUUUAUGCACCAGGAUGGCGGCAAAAUUUUAACAUCAGAGACUUCUCAGCAUUUUACAAUCUUGGACCACCGGUUGCUGCAUUAUUCUUCAACUGCCAAAAGGAGAGUGGUGUUGGUGGCAGAAGGUUCCAAGGACCAGGCUGA
RNAcentral lists this ribosomal RNA (537 nucleotides) under Triticum aestivum (bread wheat). RNAcentral describes it as "partial small subunit ribosomal RNA". The record is from RNAcentral. Lineage: Eukaryota; Viridiplantae; Streptophyta; Magnoliopsida; Poales; Poaceae.